GCCAGAUUCUUUUGAAAGCAGCAGGGCAGUUGAGCAACAUUGCCCAUCAAAUAAUCUCAGGGUUCAGCUUCUGCAUAUGCUCAACAACUGUAAUGUUGUCCUCUCUACCUCAUCCUCACCGCCAAAUCUGAUCGGGCUGAUCAUGUACCCGAGUACAAGAUUCAAAAUCGAUCAAAUGAAAGUGAUCUCAUUGACCCACGUAGCAGAUCCUUCCAAAAAAUAGAUCGACCAUGACGGUCUUCCAUUAAUGACCAUGAACUCCUUCGCUCCAAAGCCUCCUUCUCCUCCCGCGGUUGGUUGAAAAGAAGAUCCCUCUACACCCCCCUUCGCUUGCCCUUCGUUGAGAAAGCCUGCUGCUACUACUGUUCUUUAUCCUUACACCAGCUGCCCUCCCGUUGUUAUCGAUUGAAUGAGUUGUCGUAAAGAAGAUUGAAGAUUCCUUUGUGGCCUUCUUGGCUUGGGCUUCUUUGAAAGAUCUUCCCACUGCCGUUGUUCUUCAGCGUUGCCACAACUGCUCUCCCGAUGUUCUUAAUUUCAAUCAUGC
Molecule: long non-coding RNA, 544 nt
Filed under: Hordeum vulgare
Lineage: Eukaryota; Viridiplantae; Streptophyta; Magnoliopsida; Poales; Poaceae
Description: long non-coding RNA (HVUL_LNC013369)
Source: RNAcentral